RNAcentral lists this long non-coding RNA (223 nucleotides) under Hordeum vulgare. Its description in RNAcentral is "long non-coding RNA (HVUL_LNC019228)". Lineage: Eukaryota; Viridiplantae; Streptophyta; Magnoliopsida; Poales; Poaceae. The record is from RNAcentral.
UUUUUUCUUUUUUUCCAUUUUGAUAUCAAAGGGGGAGAUGUUGUGUUGCUUCAUAGGCUUGGGCAUUGACUUAUGGUUCUUCAAUUGUCAAUUGUAUGAUUAUUUGAACCUUUGCUCUUAUUUUUCUCUUAUUUUAACCCUUUCUCUUGCUUGAACCUUACACUUAUAUGUUCGUUAACUAUCUAUCCAUAUGUGAGCACUUCACGGGCUACAAUGAGUUGCG